CCGCGACGCCCCCCCGCUGUCGCCUGGCCCGCGACGCACCGAGGCCUGAGGACCCGAAAGCCGGGCGCGGGGAGAUGACCGGUGGCUCGUGACGGUCCCACGGGCAAAAUCUUCCAUCGCCCGGGGCUGAGACUUGUCAAACUGCCCUCUACGGUCACCCGGAAAGUAGGAGGCUUUUUCUGCAGAGGGGAAAAAAAUCAAAAAGAGCCGUUCCAUCCCCCCUCCAAGGACUGGGUUUGAAUUGCUUUUCAUCUGCAGUGGCUGUGAUUCAGCGUCCCUCUUAGCAGCAGGCAAUGACAGAGGCAGGAGAGGGGAAAAAAAAAAAGAAAGAAAGAAAAAACACAGCAAAUGAAUCAAACGGACCAGGUAGCAGGCAAGAGUGUGGUUAUCGUUGGACCAGGAUUCAGGAUCUGACUGAGUAGCUGACUCUUAAUCCAGUUUGUGUUGAUCACCAGGAGGAUCUGGACCUCAGUAUUACCACAUCUAGAGCUAUAAUCACAUCCCUGUUAAGCCUUCCUGAGAUCACACCAAAUGUCCUUGAUGGGAAUUGUAAACAACCCUUACUUCUGGUUUCUAAUGAUAUUCCAGGAAAGGAGCCUAACUAGAGUCAGUGAUAUGCCAACUCCACCUUUGCCUUCCACCAUGUUUGGAAGCUCCCUGAGGCCUCACCAGGAGCAGAUGCUCGUCCCAUGCUUCCUAUAAGCCUGCAGAACUGUGAGCCAUAAUAAACUGUGAAUUAUAAAUUGCCUUUAUAGCAAUGCAAAUGGACCAGUACAGAUGGGAUGCUGGGAAGACAGUUGUUUCCACCUUCAGUAAAGUCCGUGGAACACAGUUGUGACUAUAUUCUAGGCCAGCCAAGAUGCUUGUACUCAGAAAGGAGUGGUCUCAGGACCAUAAGAAAGUGAAAAAAUAAAAAUAAGAAAAUAAAGAAGGGAUUGUCAAUGAAUCAGAAUUCAUCAAGGUCAAAGUCUUAGGAAAUUCCUUCAUGAGGAAGUCUAGGGGGGCUAUGGAAAUGAAAUUUUUAAACAAAUAGGUAUGUGGUGCUGGCAGGAAUAAAUUAUGGACUUAUGAAUAUAACAUAAGAUUCUUUAUUACCUGGUCUCACCCGUCUUUCCACCUCUGCCCCCCUUCUUGCCCGACUCUGUGUAUCACCCAUAAUAAACUACUUACAGCUUCCUAGUGUUAAAUUUACCCUAAAGCUGCCUCCUUCAAUAUUUUAAGUUUAACCUAAAGGUUCUUCAUACAUAGUGAACUAUAACCCAAUGAUUAAACAGAUUGUAACCUACUCUUGUACCAGUCACCAAGUUUCAGCCAAUCAGAGGUGGCCAACUGUUCAAACCAUGCUCAAAUAAGGGAAAUGUCAUGGUGUAACUAAUCCAGCUGUUUCUAUACCUUACUUCUGUUUUCUUAGGUCACUUUCCUUUUUUGUCCAUAAAUUCUCUCCAACCACUCAGCAGCACUGGAGUCACUCCAAAGCUAUCCUGGUUCAGGGGUCUGUCUGAUUCACAAGUCAUUCUUUGUUCAAUUGAGCUCUGCUAAAUUUAAUUUGUCUGAAGUUUUUCUUUUAACAGAUGGUGUCAGAAAUGGACCCCAAAGUAGAGCUCCCAGUGAUCCCCCAGGAGCACUGAGUGACCACAAGGGGUACCUGCUGGGCCCGUCCUCUCGCAGUGUCCACUGCUCUCUUACAGCAACUGGAGAUUGUGGCUGCAUUCUCUCUCAGAUUCUGAAGCUCCAUACAUUGCCGUUUUCAGCUGUUCAAGCUUGCUUGAGCAAAUUUUUGAUCUUAGCUGAGUUUGGAAGUCGAUAGACAUUGGACUGGGUCCAGGAUUUGAUUGGAUCUGAUAAUUAACUGGCUUGGAUCCAGUUAGAUGCCUCGGUUAUCUGACUGGGUCAGAUAGAAACCGCCAGUAAAUAUUUUAAUAACAAUACUGCAGGGGUAUGAACUCUGGCUUUAAGAAACUCACAAGGAAUUUUAUGUUCUAUACCCUUUGUUUCUUUUUCUUGUGUGCUUCGGUCAGGAAAAAUCAUUAGUCAAGUUAAUCAAGGGGAUCUGAGAGCCAAAUACAAGAUUCAACGUAAAAAUGGAAUCCUUGGGCUAGGCGUGGUGGCUCAGGCCUGUAAUCCCAGGACUUUGGGAGGCUGAGGCAGGCGGAUCACCUGACCUUAGGAGUUCGAGACCAGUCUGGCCAACAUGGUGAAACCCCGUCUCCACUAAAAAUACAAAAAUUAGCCAGGCGUGGUGGUGGGCACCUGUAAUCCCAGCUACUUUGGAGGCUGAGGCAGGAUAAUCACUUGAACCCAGGAGGCAGAGGUUGCAGUGAUCUGAGAUUGCACCACUGCACUCCAGCCUGGGCAAAAGAGCGAGACUCCAUCUCAUAAAUAAAUACAUAAAUAAAUAAAGAAAUCCUUAAUUUCUGCGGAACUGAGUGCUCUACCUUCUGGCUACACCUACGUAUACCUGUAUGAGGUAUAGGCCCUGGAAGCAGCAAACACUUACAGAAAUGGUGAAAUCUUACUAAAGGGAAAAGAAAGCUGGAUAAAGUAUUUAUAGAAGAUAGAGGACCUGUGGUGGCUCAUGCCUGUAAUCCAAGGUGGAAGGAUUGCUUGAGGCCAGAAGUUCAAGACCAGUCCAAGCAACAUAGCAAGGCCCCAUCUCUACAAAAAAUGAAAAUAAAAUUAGCCGAGCGUGAUGGCUCAUGCCUGUAGUUCUAGCUUCUAGAGAGGCUGAGGCAGGAGGAUUGCUUGAGUCCAGGAGUUCAAGAUUACAGUGAGCUAUGGUCACACCACUGCACUCCAGCCUGGGUGAUGGAGUGAGACUGUCUCAAUAAAAAGACAAAAAGGCUGGCCAGGGGCAGUGGUUCAUGCCUGUAAACCCAGCACUUUGGGAGGCAAAGGCAGGAGGAUUGCUUAAGCCCAGGAAUUUGAGAUCAGCCUGGACAACAUGGUCAAGGAAGCUUUUCCUGAUCCACUAACUAAGGACAAUCAAACCCUUCAUGAUCUAGAAUCUGGAGACUGUGUCUUCUGGGAAUAGUAUCAGAGAAAGACUGCCCUUACUGCCCACAUGUAGCAAAACUUUGAGACGUUGAAUUAUGGGUCCAUAAUCUCACAACUCAGAGGGGCACCUCUAGACUCUUGGAACUGUAUAUCUAUUGGAGACUUUAAGGUAAAGCUGAACAGAGAGACGUUUUUCUCCAGAAGCAGACAGCACCAUAGUCAUGGACAGCUUUCCCAAGAUCACAGAUCAAGACUUCUCUGCCGUCAUGAGACUCAUAACCUCUUAAUUUUUUCUUGCUUAUGCUUCUGUGAACAAUAGAAUUGGAAAAGGGGUGGUCCCGCGUGCACCCAUAGGGUAUACUUUUAUUUGUGGAGGAUUUUGCUGCCAACCUUAUACAUGGGCAAACUUAUGCCUUCAUGGAUGGAAGAUAAAGGGCUAAUAUGGGUUAGAAAUUUUAAUGGUACCUUUGUUUCUCCAUAAUCAUUCAGAAACAGAACACUGGUCCACUCUUGUUAACCUACAUCAUAGGUUGAAGAGAACAUUGCCAGGAGGCCUUCAUCCUUCCAGAUGGGCACCAUUUGUUGGGUCUUUUUCCGUGGUAUGAAGAAAAUGAAGCAAUGAUUAGAAAUUGGUCCCUCGGCCGGGCACAAUGGCUCAUGCCUGUAAUCCCAUCACUUUGGCAGGCCGAGGCGGGUGGAUCACCUGAGGUCAGGAGUUUGAGACCAGCCUGACCAAUGUGGUGAAACGCCAUCUCUACUAAAAAUACAAAAAUUAGCUGGGUGUGAUGGUGCACACCUGUAAUCCAGCUACUCGGGAGGCUGAGACAGGAGAAUUGCUUGAACCUGGGAGGCAGAGGUUGCAGUGAGCCAAGAUCACCCCACUGCAUUCCAGGUUGGGCAACAGAGCAAGACUCUGUCUCAAAAAAAAAAGAAGAAAGAAAGAAAUUGAUCCCUCAUAAUAGGCUGUAUAGCAGAUUCUACUGCAAAGGCUAUGGUUGCACAACAGACUUCUUUGAAUUUGCUUGCUAAACUUUUACUGGAUAAUACUGGGAUUACAGGUGUGAGCCACUGUGCCCAGCCUCUCCUGUUUAACUGUAUUCAUUCUAAUGUUUACUUACUUCUUUAAUUUGUAAAAUUGGGUCACUUAGAGUUUUUUUAGCCUAUCUUGCCAUUUAGCCACUGUUACUGAUAAUUUGGAUGGAAAAGAAAAAUAAAUUAUAUCACCUCUCAUCUUCAGUGUAUAUAUGUGUUAACUUAGUAAAUAUAGUAUUCUUUCUCGUUCCUAAUGAAAAUUUAGUUUACGUACUGAAACACUGCAAACUUUUAUAAAUAUUGUGAUGUAUUUGACCAAUACAAAGGAUCUUUUUAGAAACAGCAAACAGUUCUCAGAUUAUAGGAAUUACUCAUUUAAUGAUAGUUUCUUCUU
Molecule: long non-coding RNA, 4420 nt
Filed under: Homo sapiens (human)
Lineage: Eukaryota; Metazoa; Chordata; Mammalia; Primates; Hominidae
Description: HSALNT0186833
Source: RNAcentral